Molecule: ribosomal RNA, 423 nt
Filed under: uncultured bacterium
Lineage: Bacteria
Description: bacterial SSU rRNA
Rfam family: Bacterial small subunit ribosomal RNA
Source: RNAcentral
AGAAUUUUUCACAAUGGGCGAAAGCCUGAUGGAGCGACGCCGCGUGGGGGAUGAAUGGCUUCGGCCCGUAAACCCCUGUCAUUUGCGAGCAAAGCUGACGGCUGAACAGGCCGGCAGUCUGAUAGUAGCGAACGAGGAAGGGACGGCUAACUCUGUGCCGGCAGCCGCGGUAAUACAGAGGACCCGAGCGUUGUUCGGAUUUACUGGGCGUAAAGGGUGCGUAGGUGGCAGGGUAAGUUCGGUGUGAAAGCUUCGAGCUCAACUCGGAAAUGGCAUUGAAUACUAUCCUGCUUGAGGGUCGGAGGGGAGACUGGAAUUCUCGGUGUAGCAGUGAAAUGCGUAGAUAUCGAGAGGAACACCAGUGGCGAAGGCGGGUCUCUGGACGACACCUGACACUGAGGCACGAAAGCUAGGGGAGCAAAC